UCGUUUUAUUACGGAGAGUUUGAUCCUGGCUCAGGAUGAACGCUAGCGGCGUGCUUUAUGCAUGCAAGUCGAACGGUUUUUAAGUCUUCGGAUUUGAAAACAGUGGCAAACGGGUGAGUAACACGUAGGUAACCUGCCCCUAAGUUUGGGAUAACUCCGGGAAACCGGGGCUAAUACUGGAUGUGGUAACCGGGUGAUGCCUGGUUACUAAAGCCUUAGGGCGCUUGGGGAGGGGCCUGCGUCCGAUUAGCUAGUUGGUGGGGUAAUGGCCCACCAAGGCAAUGAUCGGUAGCUGGUCUGAGAGGACGGUCAGCCACACUGGGACUGAGACACGGCCCAGACUCCUACGGGAGGCAGCAGCAAGGAAUUUUGGGCAAUGGGCGAAAGCCUGACCCAGCAACGCCGCGUGGGGGAUGAAAGCCCUCGGGUUGUAAACCCCUUUUCCCAGGGAAGAAUAAUGACGGUACCUGGGGAAUAAGCCCCGGCUAACUACGUGCCAGCAGCCGCGGUAAUACGUAGGGGGCAAGCGUUAUCCGGAUUUACUGGGCGUAAAGAGGACGUAGGCGGCUUUUCAAGUCGGAUGUGAAAUUUCCCGGCUCAACCGGGACGGGUCAUUCGAUACUGUUGGGCUAGAGGACAGCAGGGGGAGACGGAAUUCCCGGUGUAGUGGUGGAAUACGUAGAUA
This 685-nucleotide ribosomal RNA is filed under the name uncultured Chloroflexota bacterium. RNAcentral's name for it is "bacterial SSU rRNA". It matches the Rfam family "Bacterial small subunit ribosomal RNA", at positions 1 to 696 of the family's 1533-position model. Lineage: Bacteria; Bacillati; Chloroflexota. The record is from RNAcentral.